Molecule: non-coding RNA, 14742 nt
Organism: Callithrix jacchus (white-tufted-ear marmoset)
Lineage: Eukaryota; Metazoa; Chordata; Mammalia; Primates; Cebidae
Source: RefSeq, a predicted model, not a curated record
GCCAGACAUUCCUCGGAAACAGCUGCGUCUGUGGGAGAAAUCAGCGGAUUACCUGAGGCGUAGAGGGGUUUGGAGACAGCCUUUUGCCGUCCCUCGACCCUGAAGCGGGGCAAACGUGGGAACUCCUUACUGCCAGAAAGAAAUGAGGUCUUGCUAUGUUGCCCAAGCUGGAGUACAGUUAGCAGGCAUGAUGAUAAUGCACUACAACCUUGAACUCCUGGGUCCAAGUGAUCCAUCUGCCUUAGCCUCCUGAGUAGCUGGGACUACAGUGCAGAUCUUUUCUCGUAUUAUUCACCACUUUGGAAGACGCAGAGAUAUUGACUGGCUGCUGACCGUAGAUCUGACAUGCUGGGGAGACCAGAGUGAUGAUUGUCCUGCAGUGCCUUCAGGAUAAAGUACAGAUGGCUUUGUUCCAAUGUGGAGGCCUGGAUGUUGUCAUCUCAAUACUCCAUCUGAUAACAGGAUUGAAAGAAGAAUUCCCAGACACAAUCAGACCUGCAGUUCACUUGGCUCAACCCAGCAAACUAUCACAGAAAGGGAUACAAAAGAAGUAUUUGCAGAAAGUAUAAAACUGUACUCUCUGGCAUCAGAAACAAAAUAUGAAGACUUGGCCAACAACCUGAUUCCUGAUUGCUUACUUCUUUCAAAUCUGAGACUCCUGACAACACAGCCGGACAUGAUCGAUAGUAACAUAACAACUGAGUGUCUACCAGGCUCAGCUGGACUGCCUUUCUUCAAGGAGUCUUCAAAUACUCUACGUGUUUCAGGAUUCCAGAUUUGUCAAAACCCCUGCAAAAAGGGCUGCCAAUAGAAGCUGCAAAGUCACUAUGACUUGUGGGUCCAAUUCCAUUUCGGUCUCUCCAGUUAUCAGAUUCGCUUCCACUUCCCAAGUGCUCGCGACUGUUGGAUCGUGAAAGGGACAUUGAUGAGCCCUGUAAACAGACAAGGCCAGAUAAGGAAAUGUUUAAUCAGGACUUUGGGAGAUCAACACAGGCAGAUCACUGGCGGUCAGGAGUUUGAGACCAGCCUGGCCAACAGAGCCAAACCCUGUGUCUAACAACAACCACCAAAAGAUUAGGAGGGAAGAUCCAAGAUGGCCAAAUAGGAACAGCUCUGGAGUGCAGUUCCCAGCAAGAAUGCAGAGGGUGAGUGAUCAUCGCAUUUCCGAACAAGUUUUUACUGCACAUAUGCCAGGACAUUCCAGGAAGAAAAGCACCAUGAGCCUCCAGCAUGGCUGUUUUGGCCAAAACAGCAGGUCUCCACACAAAAACUCAUACAAAUCAGGGCACCAUUUCAACUGGCACCUGGAACACCUGGAAGACAGAGCUGCCCAUUCAACUGAAAUAAAGGCUGAAACAAGGAGCCAGGUGAUCUGGCUUGGUGGGUCCCACCCCACAAAGACCAGCACUCUGAAAUGCUCUGGAUUGAGAGUUUCACAGUAAGCACAGCUGAACUCAGGACAGUCCAGCUCUGUCGGGGGGGAAGGGCGUUUGCCAAUACCAAAAAGUUUUAACCACACCUCUACAAACAAAACCACAAGGAAGUUCACACAGCAGCUGGGCAGAGCCCAUGACAGCUCAGAAACGCCUCUGCUGGCAGACUGUGACUAGGCUAUGUCCUCACUGGACAGGGCAUCUCUGAAAAAAGGCAGCAGCACCUCAGGAGCUUAUAAAUAAAGCUCCAACUUCCCAGGACAGAGCACCAGGGAAAAAAAGGCAGUUACGAGUUUCACUGUAGUAGACUUAAACAUACCUGCCCAGCAGCUCUAAACGGAACAACAGAGCUCACAGCUCAGCACUUGAGCUCCUAUAAGGGACAGACCAUCUCCUCAAGCAGCUUGCCGACCCCCCUAUAUCCAAACAGACACCUCAUAAAGAGCUCAGGCUGACAUCUGGUGGGUCUCCUUCAGGGACAAAGAUAACAGAAGAAGAAAAUGGCAACAACCCUUACUGUUCCGCACCCACUGCAGGUGAUCCCCAGGCAAGCAAGGUCUGGAGUAGACCUCCAGCAGUCCUAAAGCAAAGGGGCUUGACUGUUAGAAGGAAAACUAAAAAACAGAAAUAACUUCAUCAGCAACACAAAGGAUGUCCACUUAGAGACCCCAACCAAAAGUCACCAACUACAAAGACCACACAUAGAUAAAUCCACAAAGAUGUGAAGAAACCAGUGCAAAAAGGAUGAAACACCCAAAACCAGAAUGCCUCUCCUCCUCCAAGGGAUCACAACUCCUCACCAGCAAGGGAACAAGGUUGAAUGGACAUUGAGUCUGAUGAACUGACAGAAACAGGCUUCAGAAAGUGGGUAAUAACAAAUUUCUCUAAGUAAAAGAACAUGUUCUAACCCAAUGCAAAGAAACUAAAAAUGUUGAAAAAAGGUUUGAUGAAAUGCUACUGAGAAUAAACAACUUAGAGAAUAACCUAAAUAAAUUUAUGGAGCUGAAAAACACAACAGGAGAACUUUGAGAAGUAUACACAAAACAGCCAAAUUAACCAAGCAGAAGAAAGGAUAUCAGAGAUUCAAGACCAACACAAUGAAAUAAAAUGAGAAGGCAAGAUUAGAGAAAAAAGUAAAAAGAAAUGAACAAAGCCUCCAAGAAAUAUGGAUUUAUGUGAAAAGACCUGAUCUACCUUUGAUAGGUGUACAUGAAUGUGACAGAGAAUGAAUCCAAGCUGGAAAACACUCUUCAGUAUAUUAUCCAGGAAAACUUCCCCAACCGAGCAAGGCAGGCCAACAUUCAAGUCCAGAAAAUACAGAGAACACCACAAAGAUAUUCCACAAGAAGAGCAACACCAAGGCACAUAAUUGUCAGAUUCAUCAGGGUUGAAAUGAAAGAAAAAAUGCUGAGGGCAGCCAGAGAGAAAAGUCGAGUUACCCACAAAAGGAAGACCAUCAGACUCGAAGCAGAUCUCUCAGCAGAAACCCUACAAGCCAGAAGAGAGUGGGUGCCCAUAUUCAAUAUCCUUAAAACAACUUUCAACCUUGAAUUUUUUUUAUAUUGCAUUUUAGGUUUUGGAGUACAUGUGCAGAACAUGCAAGAUAGUUGCAUAGGUACACACGUGGCAGUGUGACUUGCUGCCUUCCUCCCCUUCACCCACAUCUGGCAUUUCUCCCCAUGCUAUCCCUCCCCAGCUCCACCCCACUGUCCCUCCCCAUUCCCCCUGAAUAGACCCCAGAGUGUAGUGCUCCCCUCCCUGUGUUCAUAUGUUCUCAUUGUUCAACACCCGCCUAUUAGUGAGAACAUGUGGUAUUUCAUUUUCUGUUCUUGUGUCAGUUUGCUGAGAAUGAUGUUCUCCAGAUUCAUCCAUGUCCCUACAAAGGACACAAACUCAUCAUUUUUGAUUACUGCAUGAUAUUCCAUGGUGUAUAUGUGCCACAUUUUCCCUGUUCAGUCUAUCAUAGAUGGGCAUUUGGGUUGAUUCCAGGUCUUUGCUAUUGUAAACAGUGCUGCAAUGAACAUUCGUGUGCAUGUGUCCUUAUAGUAGAACGAUUUAUAGUCCUUUGGAUAUAUAUCCAGUAAUGGGAUUGCUGGGUCAAAUGGAAUUUCUAUUUCUAGGUCCUUGAGGAAUCACCACACUGUAUUCCACACAAUGGUUGAACUAAUUUACACACCCACCAGUAGUGUAAAAGUGUUGCUAUUUCUCCACAUUCUCUCCAGCAUCUGUUGUCUCUGGAUUUUUUAAUGAUCGCCAUUCUAAAUGGCGUGAGAUGGUAUCUCAAUGUAGUUUUGAUUUGCAUUUCUCUAAUGACCAGUGAUGAUGAGCAUUUUUUCAUGUUUGUUGGCCUCAUGUAUGUCUUCUUUUGUGAAGUGUCUGUUCAUAUCCUUUGCCCAUUUUUGAAUGGGCUUGUUUUUUUCUUGUAAAUCUGUUUUACUUCUUUGUAAAUUCUGGAUAUAAGUUCUUUGUCAGAUGGGCAAACUGCAAAAAUUUUUUCCCAUUCUGUUGGUUGCCGAUUCACUCUAAUGACUGUUCCUUUUGCUGUGCAGAAGCUGUGGAGUUUGAUUAGGUCCCAUUUGUCUAUUUUGGCUUUUGUUGCCAAUGCUUUUGGUGUUUUGGUCAUGAAGUUCUUGCCUACUCCUAUGUCCUGAAUGGUUUUGCCUAGAUUUUCUUCUAGGGUUUUUAUGGUGCCAGGUCUUAUGUUUAAGUCUUUAAUCCAUCUGGAGUUAAUUUUAGUGUAAGGUAUCAGGAAGGGGUCCAGUUUCUGCUUUCUGCACAUGGCUAGCCAGUUUUCCCAACACCAUUUAUUAAACAGGGAAUCCUUCCCCCAUUGCUUGAUUUUGUCAGGUUUAUCAAAGAUUGUAUGGUUGUAGAUACGUUGUGUUGCCUCCAGGGCCUCUGUUCUGUUCCAUUGGUCUAUAUCUGUUUUGGUACCAGUACCAUGCUGCUUUGAUUACUGUUGCCUUGUAGUAUAGUUUGAAGUCCGGUAGUGUGAUGCCUCCUGCUAUGUUUUUUACUUAGAAUUGACUUGGUUAUGUGGGCUCUCUUUUGGUUCCAUACAAAGUUUAAGGUAGUUUUUUCCAGUUCUGUGAAGAAGGUCAUUGGUAGCUUGAUGGGGAUAGUGUUGCAUCUAUAAAUUCCUUUGUGCAGUAUAGCCAUUUUCACGAUAUUGAUUCCUCCUAACCAUGAACAUGGAAUAUUUCUCCAUCUGUUUGUGUCUUCUCUUAUUUUGUUGAGCAGUGGUUUGUAGUUGUCCUUGAAGAGGUCCCUUAUGAUCCUUGUAAGUUGUAUUCCUACGGUAUUUUAUUCUUUUUGUAGCAAUUGUGAAUGGCAGUUCAUUCUUGAUUUGGCUCUCUUUAAGUCUGUUAUUGGUGUAUAGGAAUGCUUGUCAUUUUUGCACAUUGAUAUUGUAUCCUGAGACUUUGCUGAAGUUGCUUAUCAGUUUCAUGAGUUUUUGGGCUGAGACAAUGGGGUCUUCUAGAUAUACUAUCAUGUCAUCUGCAAAUUGAGACAAUGUGGCUUCCUCCUUUCCUGUUUGAACACACUUUAUUUAUUUUUCUUGCCUAAUUGCUCUGGCUAGAACUUCCAGUACUAUAUUGAAUAAGAGUGGUGAGAGAGGCCAUCCUUGUCUAGUGCCAGAUUUCAAAGGGAAUGCUUCCAGUUUUUGCCCAUUCAGUAUGAUAUUGGCUGUUGGUUUGUCGUAAAUAGCUUUUAUUAUUUUGUGAUACGUUCCAUCAAUACUGAGUUUGUUGAGGGUUUUUAGCAUAAAGGGCUGGUGAAUUUCGUCAAAGGCCUUCUCUGCAUUGAGAUAAUCAUGGGUUUUUUGUUUUUGGUUCUGUUUAUGUAGUGAAUUACAUUUAUAGACUUGCAUAUGUUGAACCAGCCUUGCAUCCCAGGGAUGAAUCCUACUUGAUCAUGGUGGAUAAGCUUUUUGAUGUGCUGUUGCAAUUGGCUUGCCAGUAUUUUAUUGAAGAUUUUUGCAUCUAUGUUCAUCAUGGAUAUUGGCCUGAAGUUUUCUUUGCUUGUUGAGUCUCUGCCGGGUUUUGGUAUCAGGAAUGAUGUUGGUCUCAUAAAAUGAUUUGGGAAGGAUUCCCUCUUUUUUGAUUAUUUGGAAUAGUUUCAGAAGGAAUGGUAACAGUUCCUCUUUGUGUGUCUGGUAGAAUUCAGCUGUGAACUCAUCUAGACCUGGGCUUUCUUUUGUGUGGUAGGCUCUUAAUUGCUGCCUCAAGUUCAGACCUUGUUAUUGGUCUAUUCAUAGUUUCGGCUUCCUCCUGGUUUAGGCUUGGAAGGACACAAGUGUCCAGGAAUUUAUCCAUUUCUUCCAGGUUUACUAGUUUAUGUGCAUAGAGUUGUUUGUAAUAUUAUCUGAUGGUUUGAAUUUCUGUGGAAUCAGUGGUGAUUUCCCCUUUAUCGUUUUUUAUUGCAUCUAUUUGGUUAUUCUCUUUUCUUUUUUAUCAAUCUGGCUAGUGGUCUGUCUAUGUUGUUGAUCUUUUCAAAAAAACAGCUCUUGGAUUUGUUUUUUUGAAGGGUUUUUCGUGUCUCUAUUUCCUUCAGUUCUGCUCUGAUCUUAGUUAUUUCUUGUCUUCUCCUAGGUUUUGAGUUUUUUUCAUCUUGCUCUUCUAGCUCUUUCAAUUUUGAUAAUAGGGUGUCAAUUUUGGAUCUAUCCACUCUUCUCAUGUGGGCACUUAUUACUAUAUAUUUUCCUCUAGAGACUACUUUAAAUGCGUCCCAGAGAUUCUGGUAUAUUGUGUCUUUGUUCUCGUUGGUUUCAAAGAAUUUCUUUAUUUCUGCCUUCAUUUCAUUGUUUAUCCAGUCAACAUUCAAGAGCCAGUUUCCAUUCCAACAUUCAAGAGUUCAGUUUCCAUGAAGCUGUGUGGUUCUGAAUUCAUUUCUGAAUUCUGAGUUCUAACUUGAUUGCACUGUGGUCUGAGAGACUUAUGAUUUCAGUUGUUUUGCAUUUGCUGAGGAGGGCUUUACUUCCAAUUAUGUGGUCGAUUUUCAAGUAGGUGUGAUGUGCUGCUAAGAAGAAUGUAUAUUCUGUGGAUAUGGGGUGGAGAGUUCUGUAAAUGUCUAUCAGGUCUGCUUGUUCCAGGUGUGAGUUCAAGUCCUGGAUAUCCUUGUUAAUUUUCUGUCUGGUUGAUCUGUCUAAUAUUAACAGUGGAGUGUUAAAGUCUUCCACUAUUAUUGUGUGGGAGUCUAAGUCUCUUUGUAAGUCAUUAAGAACUUGCCUUAUAUAUCUGGGUGCUCCUGUAUUGGGUCCAUAUAUAUUUAGGAUUGUUAGCUCUUCUCGUUGUAUUGAUCCUUUUACCAUUUUGUAAUGUCCUCCUUUGUCUCUUUUGAUCUUUGUUGCUUUAAAGUGUAUUUUAUCAGAGACAAUUGCAACUCCUGCUUUUGUUUGCUCUCCAUUUGCUUGGUAAAUCUUCCUCCAUCCCUUUAUUUUGAUCCUUUGUGUAUCCUUGCAUGUGAGAUGGGUUUCCUAGAUACAGCACACCGAUGGGUUUUGGCUUUUUAUCCAAUUUGCCAGUCUGUGUCUUUCGAUUGGUGCAUUUAGCCCAUUUAUAUUUAGGGUUAAUAUUGUUAUGUGUGUAUUUGAUACUGACAUUUAGAUGCUAGCUGGCUGUUUUGCCUGUUAGUUGAUGCAGAUUUUUCAUUUUGUUGAUGCUCUUUACCAUUCGAUAUGUUUUUGGAAUGGCUGGUACUGGUUGUUCCUUUCUAUGUGUAGUGCCUCUUUCUGGAGCUCUUGUAAAGCAGGCCUGGUGGUGACAAAAUCUGAGUACUUGCUUGUUUGCAAAGGAUUUUAUUUUUCCUUCACUUAUGAAGCUUGGUUUGGCUGGAUAUGAAAUUCUUGGUUGAAAUUUCUUUUCUUUAAGAAUGUUGAAUAUUGGCCCCCACUCUCUUCUUGCUUGUAGGGUUUCUGCCAAGAGAUCUGUGAGUCUGAUGGGCCCCCUUUGUGGGUGACCCGACCUUUCUCUCUGGCUGCUCAUAGCAUUUUCUCCUUCAUUUCAACCCUGGUGAAUCAGACAAUUAUGUGCCUUGGGGUUGUUUUUGCGGAAUAUCUUUGUGGUGUUCUCUGUAUUUCCUGGACUUGAAUAUUGGCCUGCCUUGCUAGGUUGGGGAAAUUUUCCUGGAUAAUAUCCUGAAGAGUAUUUUCCAGCUUGGAUUCAUUCUCUUUGUCACAUUCAGGUAUACCUAUCAGACAUAGAUUAGGUCUGUUCACGUAGUCCCACAUUUCUUAGAGACUUUGUUCAUUCCUUUUUGUGCUUUUUUCUCUAAUCUUGCCUUCUCGUUUUAUUUCAUUGAGUUGAUCCUCGACCUCUGAUAUACUUUCUUCUGCUUGGUCAAUUUGGCUGUUGAGACUUGUGCCUGCUUCGCAAAGUUCUCAUGUUGUGUUUUUCAUCUCCAUCAAUUCACUCAUAUUCCUCUCUAAGUUGUCCAUUCUUGUUCUCAUUUUCUCAAAUCUUUUUUCAAGGUUCUUACGUUCUAACUCAAUGCAAAGAAACUGUUCUUUUAGCUUACGGAAGUUUCUCAUUACCCACCUUCUGAAGUCUACUUCCGUCAUUUUGUCACAGUCAUUCUCCGUCCAGCUUUGUUCCCUUGCUGGUGAGGGGUUUUGAUCCCUUGUAGGAGGCUAGGUGUUUUGGUUUCAGGUGUUUUCCUCCUUUUUCCGCUGGUUUCGUCCCAUCUUUUUGGAUUUAUCCACCUGUCGUCUGAGUAGUUGCUGACUUUCCGAUUAGGCCUCUGAGUGGACAUCCAGAUUGUCGAUGAUGUAGUAUUUCUGUUUCUUAGUUUUCCUUCUAACAGUCUAGCCCCUCUGCUGUAGGACUGCUGAGGUCCACUCCAGGCCCUGCCUGCCUGGGGAACACCUGUUGCAGCUGCAGAACAGUGAGGAUUGCUACCAGUUUCUUCUUCUGCUAUCUUUGUCCCAGAAUGAUGCCUGCCAAAUGUCAGUCUGAUCAGUCCUCUGUGAGGUGACUCUUUGGAUAUACGGGGGUCAGGGGGCUGCUUGAGGAAACAGUCUGUACUUUAUAGGAGCCCAAGUGCUGAGCUGUGAGCUCCACUGUUCAUUCAGGGCUGCUAGUCAGGUACAUUUAAGUCUGCUGCAGCAGAACUCAUAGAGCCCCUUUUUUUCCUCAGGUGCUCUGUCCCAGGGAGUUAGGGCUUUAUUUAUGAGUAUGUGUUGCACUGUCCUACACAGCAAGGAGGCAGUCUAGUCACUGCCAGCUUGCAGAGGCUAUGCUGAGCUGCUCUGGGCUCUGCCCUGCUGCCGAGGGCUCUGCCCUGCUGCUGUGUGUAAUUCCCUGUAGUCCUGUUUAUAUGGGUGUGGUUAGAACUGCUGUGGCAAUAGUGGCCCACCUCUGUAAUCUCAACCUCGAAUUUCAUAUCCAGCCAAACAAAGCUUCAUAAGCGAAGGAGAAAUAAAAUCCUUUAUGAACAAGCAAUUGCUCGGGGAUUUCAUAGCCGCCAGGCCUGCCUUAUAAGAGCUCCUGAAAGAAGCACUAAACAUAGAAAGGAACAACCGGUAUUACUCACUCCAAAAACAUUCCAAAUGGUAAAGAGAACUGACACAAUGAAGAAACAGCAUAAACUAAUGGGCAAAACAAUGAGCUAGUAUCAAAAUGGCACGAUGAAAUUCACAUAUAACAGUAUUUACCUUAAAGGUAAAUAGGCUAAAUGCCCCAAUCAAAAGACACAGACUGGCAAAUUGGAUAAAAAGUCAAAACUCUUUGGUGUGCCAUAUCCAGGAAACCCAUCUCACAUGCAAGGACACACAAAGAAUCAAAAUAAAGCAAAGAAAAGCAGGAGUUUCAAUCCUAGUCUCUCAUAAAAUAGACUUUAAACCAACAAAGAUCAAAAGAGACAAAGGAGGACUUUACAUAAUGGUAAAAGGAUCAAUGCAACAAGAGCUAAUGAUCCUAAAUAUAUACUCACCCAAUACAGGAGAACCCAGAUACAGAAAGCAAGUUCUAAAUGACCUACAAAGAGACUUAGACUCCCACACAAUAGUGGGAGACUUUUACACUCCACUGUCAAUUUUCUGUCUCGUUGAUCUGUCUCAUAUUGACAUAGAUACCCAGGACUUGAACUCAGAUCUGGACCAAGCAAACCUGACAGACAUUUAUAGAAUUCUCCACCCCAAAUCCACAGAAUAUACAUCCUUCUCAGCACCACAUCACAACUACUCUAAAACUGACCACAUAAUUGGAAGUAAAGCGCUCCUCAGCAAAUGCAAAACAACUGAAAUCAUAACAGUCUCUCAGACCACAGUGCAAUCAAAUUAGAACUCAGGAUUCAGAAACUAACUCAGAACCACACAACAUCAUGGAAACUGAAUAACUUGAAUGUUGACUGGAUAAACAAUGAAAUGAAGACAAAAAUAAAGAUGUUCUUCAAAACCAACGAGAACAAAGAAACAACAUCCCAGAAUCUCUGGGACACACUUAAAGCACUAUCUAGAGGAAAAUUUAUAGUAAUAAAUGCCCACAUGAGAAGCAAGGAAAGAUCUAAAAUCAACACCCUAUCAUCAAAAUCGAAAGAGCUAGAGGAGCAAGAUGAAAAAACUCAAAACCUAACAGAAGACAAGAAAUAACAAAGAUCAGAGCAGAACUGAAGGAGAUAGAGACACAAAAAAAACCUUCAAAAAUUUAAUAAAUCCAGGAGCUGGUUUUUUGAAAAGAUCAACAAAAUAGACCACUAGGCAGAUUAAUGAAAAGAGAGAAGGAUCAAAUAGAUGCAAUAAAAAACGAUAAAGGGGAUAUCACCACAGAUUCCACAGAAAUACAAACUACCAUCAGAGAUUACUAACAAACAACUCUAUGCACAUAAACCAGUAAACCUGGAAGAAAUGGAUAAAUUCCUGGACACUUGCACCCUCCCAAGACUAAACCAAGAAGAAGUCGAAACCCUGAAUUGACCAAUAACAAGGGCUGAAGUGAGGCAGCAAUUAACAGCCUACCAAGCAAAAAAAGCCCAGUUUCAUAUGGGUUCACAGCUGAAUUGUACCAGACAUACAAAGAGGAGCUGGUACCACUCCUUCUGAAACUAUUCCAAACAAUCCAAAAAGAGGGAAUCCUUCCCAAAUCAUUUUAUGAGACCAACAUCAUCCUGAUACCAAAACCUGGCAGAGACUCAACAAGAAAAGAAAACUUCAGGCCAAUAACCAUGAUGAACAUAGAUGCAAAAAUCUUCAAUAAAAUACUGGCAAACCAAUUGCAACAGCACAUCAAAAAGCUUAACAUGAUCAAGUAGACUUCAUCCUGGGGAUGCAAGGCUAGUUCAACAUACAAAAGUCUAUAAACAUAAUUUACCAAAUAAACAGAACCAAAGACAAAAACUACAUGAUUAUCUCAAUAGAUGCAGAGAAGACCUUCAACAAAAUUCAACAGUGCUUUAUGCUAAAAACUCUCAAUAAACUAGGUAUCGAUGGAAUGUAUCUCAAAAUAAUAAAAGCUAUUUAUGACAAAUCCACAACCAACAUCAUACUGAAUGGGCAAAAACUAGAAGCAUUCCCUUUGAAAUCUGGCACUAGACAAGGAUGCCCUCUCUUACCACUCCUAUUCAAUAUAGUGUUGAAAGUUCUAGCUAGAGCAAUCAGGAAAGAAAAAGGGUAUUUGAUUAGGAAAGGAAGAAGUCAAAUUGUCUCUAUUUGCGGACAACAUGAUUGUAUAUUUAGAAGACCCCAUCUUCUCAGCCCAAAAUCUUCUGAAACUGAUAAGCAACUUCAGCAAAGUCUCAGGAUACAAUAUCAAUGUGCAACAAUCACAAGCAUUCCUAUACACCAAUAACAGACUUAAAGAGAGACAAAUCAAGAAUGAACUCACAUUCACAAUUUGCUACAAAAAGAAUAAUAUACCUAGGAAUACAACUAACAAAGGAUGUAAAGGACCUCUUGAUGGAGAACUACAAACCACUGCUCAACGAAUUAAGAGAGGACACAAACAGAUGGAGAAACAUUCCAUGCUCGUGGUUAGGAAGAAUCACUAUGGUGAAAAUGGCCAUACUGCCCAAAGUAAUUUAUAGAUUCAAUGCUAUCCCCAUCAAGCUACCAAUGACCUUCUUCACAGAACUGGAAAAAUCUACCUUAAACUUCAUAUGGAACCAAAAGAGAGCACACAUAGCCAAGUCAAUUCUAAGCAAAAAGAACAAAGUGGAAGGCAUCACACUACCUGACUUCAAACUAUACUACAAGGCUACAGUAAUCAAAACAGCAUGCUACUGGUACUAAAACAGAGAUAUAGACCAAUGGAACAGAACAGAGGCCUCGGAGGUAACAUCACACAUCUACAACCAUCUGAUCUUUGACAAACCUGACAAAAGCAAUGGGGAAGGGAUUCCUUGUUUAAUAAAUGGUGUGGGGAAAAGUGGGUUGCCAUGUGCAGAAAGCAGAAACUGGACCUCUUCCUGACACCUUACACUAAAAUUGACUCCAGAUGGAUUAAAGACUUAAACAUAAGACCUAGCACCUUAAAAACCAUAGAAGAAAACCUAGGCUAUCCCCAUCAGGAAUAGCCUAUUCAGUACAUAGGCAUAGGCAAGGACUUCAUGACUAAAACACCAAAAGCAUUGGCAACAAAAGCCAAAACAGACAAAUGGGAUCUAAUUAAACUCCAGAGCUUCUGCACAGCAAAAGAAACAAUCAUUAGAGUGAACCAGCAACCAAGAGAAUGGGAAAAAAUUUUUGCAAUCUACCAUCUGACAAAGGGCUGAUAUCCAGAAUCUACAAAGAACUAAAAUAAAUUUACAAGAAAUAAGCCCAUUCAAAAGUGGGCAAAGGAUAUAAACAGACACUUUUCCAAAGAAGACAUAUAUGAGGCCAACAAACAUAGGAAAAAAUGCUCAUCAUCACUGGUCAUUAGAGAAAUGCAAGUUAAAACCACAUUGAGAUACCACCUCAUGCCAGUUAUAAUGGCAAUCAUUAAAAAAUCCGGAGACAACAGAUGCUGGGGAGGAUGUGGAUUUACACUAUUGAUGGGAGUGUAAAUUAGUUCAACCAUUGUGGAAGACUGUGUGGUGAUUCCUCAAGGACCUAGAAAUAGAAAUUCUAUUUGACCAAGCAAUCCCAUUACUGGGUAUAUAUUCCAAAGGAUUAUAAAUAUUAGAAAGACACAUGCACACAUAUGUUCAUUGCAGCACUGUUUACCAUAGCAAAGACCUUGAACCAACCCAAAUGCCCACUGAUGAUAGACGGAACAAGGAAAAUAUGGCACAUAUACACCAUGGAAUACUAUACAGCCAUAAAAUGUGAUGAGUUAGUGUUCUUUGUAGGGACAUGGAUGAAUCUGGAAACCAUCAUUCUCAGAAAACUGACACAAGAACAGAAAAUCAAACACCGCAUGUUCUCACUCAUAGGUGGGUGUUGAACAAUAAGAACACAUGGACCCAGGGAGGGGAGCAUCACACACUGGGGUCUGUUGGUGGGGACUAGGAGAAGGAAAGCAGGGAGAAGAGAGUUGGGGAAGGAUAAAAUGGGGAGAAAUACCAGAUACAGGAGACAGGAAUGGAAGCAGCAAACCACACUGCCAUAUAUGUACCUAUGCAACAAUUCUGCAUGUUCUACACAUGUACCCCAGAACCUAACGUGCAAUAAAAUAUAUUUAAAAAACUAAAUCAUAAAAAAAAUUGUAAGUGCCAGUAAUCCCAGCUACUUGGAAGACUGAGGCAGAAAAAUCAGUUGAACCAAGGAGGCACAGGUUGCUGUGAGGCAAGUUUGCACCUCUGUACUCCAGACUCUAUCUCAAAUCAGAAUAAAGAUGAAAUAAAAAAAUUUUUAAAUAUCACUAAGAACUGACAACACAUCAUGGUAAUCACUGGAUGCCCUCUCCAAUGCCCUUCUCAGCACAACCUGAAUGAGACGGCUCAGAUGAGUGACGUCACUCACCAAACUAUACAUCUGGUCAGUGGUCGUUAUCAGAACAUUGUACUUGACUGCUCCAUUAACAAAAUGAACAUCAUUUUUAACUUGUCCUCUUAUUGGUCUUAGAAAGCAGAACGGAAUGAGCAUUUCUAAAGUAAAUAUUUCAUCUUUGAAACUGGAGGAACACAGUCAAUAACCUAGCACACUUCACUCUGUCAAAAGCAAGGAUGGGCUGAAAGGGGUAACCAUACAUCAGGUGAAACUCUUAAGAAUAAGCACAGCAGUUUUAUGGUCUCUGCUAACAAAAAAAGAUGUUUAUUUUCUCUGUGUUAAAAUGGAAGAAAGAAGAGUGUACCUCCUAGAGCCUCAUCAUUUUUCAUAAUGUUCCUGCAUUCUGCUGCUGAAGUAACUUCAAUCUUUAAAAUACAGCCUGCCAGGUUGCGACUAUACCUCUGACAAUGAAAUUCAUAGGAGACUAUUUCUUUUAAUUUUUUAAUAGUAUUUUCUUUUUCAUUUACUCAAAAGACACAAAGAAAAAAGCAGCAUGUUUGCUUUUGCAUUUCAUCAAGAGACUAAUUUAUUACAAAGAAACUGGGUGGAGAAAAGGUCAAUCUACAAAUACUAGUUAUUAGACUAAUAAUUGUGAAACCCUUAACCAGUAUUUGUUUUUCGUCCUACAGUGCUCUCUCUGGGUGAACACUGUGACUCUUGAAUUAAUCAUUUUCAUCCAUGUUUGGGUCUGUACUCCCCUAGCAUUGUGUAUGUGUGCACACACACUCUAGCCCCACCCCCACCCCCACUCCCAAAGGCUUAGAGCCAAAAUCUGAUACUUUGAAAUGGAAAAGGCCUGCUUGGUGAAUCACGUGUAGCCUGGCUGAGGAGUAGGGAACUCUGUAUCCCUCUUCCAUAUGGUAGGAAUGCCAGCUUCCCAGACUCAACCCAAGCAGUGUAGCCAACAUCUGGGAAACAUAAAAAUUUUGGAGCUUUUGUUUGAGAUACUUCUUGCUGUGUUCUUGGCACAUCUGAACACACUGAAUUUUUAACUCAUAUUUGAAAACCUAUUUUUGUUGAAUAUUUUCUUUUUCCCCCUUUGUUGGCCUUGCUAAUGAAACCCUUGGAUAAAAGGACUCUUUAUACAUUUUUAUGGAAUAUUACAUCUGCUCUUUGCUUAGUCUCUCAGCCCUAUACUAAUCAUUUAUGACACAACUCACCCUUAACAAAACACACAUCCAAAUUUACAUCUCUUUAAGAGCUGAUCAACAACUUUGAGAGAAUACAGAUAAAAGAUCAUAAUACACAACAAUGCAUCAGUAUGUUUAUAGGAAUAAAAAUAAAAAAAAGUGACCACUUAUUAUCUUUCCUAAAGUACAUGAAGAAUGAGGGUGGGGGAAGCACUGUCCUCUUUUGCUGAGAGAACAGACAGGAAGAAUGGGUAGGACAUCACUCCACAAACCUCAU